GACGAACGCUGGCGGCGUGCUUAACACAUGCAAGUCGAACGGAAAGGCCCUGCUUUUGUGGGGUGCUCGAGUGGCGAACGGGUGAGUAACACGUGAGUAACCUGCCCUUGACUUUGGGAUAACUUCAGGAAACUGGGGCUAAUACCGUAUAGGAUCUCCUGCUGCAUGGUGGGGGUUGGAAAGUUUCGGCGUUUGGGGAUGGAUUCGCGGCUUUUCAGCUUGUUGGUGGGGUAGUGGCUUACCAAGGCUUUGACGGGUAGCCGGCCUGUGAGGGUGACCGGCGACAUUGGGACUGAGAUACGGCCCAGACUGCUACGGGAGGCAGCAGUGGGGAAUAUUGCACAAUGGGAGGAAGCCUGAUGCAGCAACGCCGCGUGCGGGAUGACGGCCUUCGGGUUGUAAACCGCUUUCGCCUGUGACGAAGCGUGAGUGACGGUAAUGGGUAAAGAAGCACCGGCUAACUACGUG
RNAcentral lists this ribosomal RNA (468 nucleotides) under uncultured bacterium. Its description in RNAcentral is "partial 16S ribosomal RNA". It matches the Rfam family "Bacterial small subunit ribosomal RNA", at positions 28 to 507 of the family's 1533-position model. The record is from RNAcentral.